UGUGCAGAGAGGCUUGCAGGUCCAAACCACUGGUAGCAGCCCCUGGUAUAUCCAGGACAUCAGCACAUAGAACCAGUGAAAGGGUCCUCCCUCAUAGUGACGCAUGUCAUAGACUCAGAUUUAUACAAACAAAUGCUGAGCAAACCAUGAAGAGUCUCUGGUAUUUUCAACAAUAUCAUCACAGAGGAACUGUAUUGAUUUCCUUCCUUCAGUGGUCCAAGAACCUGCUGCUCCCGGGUCCUCUCAUUUGAAGACACCCACCGCCUAAGGAUGAAGAGAAGCUCCUUCUUGCAGAUCUGAGGCUGAUUUCCCAACUCCCAGGAACACCCUACCCACAGCCUGUUCCCCAGACCCAGGAAUUCUUGACCAAGACUACAAAUGUAGCCCAUUUGACAUCGAAAACAUUGGGACAGGUGUGAGAGUGAGGAAAAUGGGGAGAAAAAAGAACUUUGAAGACAAGGAUUUGAAGUUAGCAUGAAGCAUGGAAAGGAGGAAGGGCAAGCUUUCUGCAGUGAGGACAGUGCCUGCCAGAGAAAACCAGAUCCUGGGGAGGGGUUUCUCCAGAAAGAGAAAGUCAAAGCUGCAGGAACUUUUCAAAUGUAGAGGAGCCUUUAGAAGGAAGCCUUGAGCAUGAGGACAGACCCCCCUCAUCCAACCACCACCUGACUCUGUGUGAACCUGGAACUGUUAGAAUGUCUGUGCUGUGAUAAAAGGUCAUCUCCCUACAAUGUUAUGAUACAGACCUCAAACCUACAAACAUGAGGAACUUCUGCCUCCAGGUUAACUGCUUACCCACUGUACAAGACACGUUACACACAGUCCAGGAGGCGGAGCUUCUGAGAUAUCUAGAAACAGCUUAGAGGCAAAAUGACAAAAUAAAGCAGCAACAACAAAUAAAACCAAUCUUCUCGAA
This 913-nucleotide long non-coding RNA is filed under the name Homo sapiens (human). Its description in RNAcentral is "long intergenic non-protein coding RNA 1255". Lineage: Eukaryota; Metazoa; Chordata; Mammalia; Primates; Hominidae. The record is from RNAcentral.